GCUAUACAUGCAAGUCGAGCGGACAGAAGGGAGCUUGCUCCCGGAUGUUAGCGGCGGACGGGUGAGUAACACGUGGGUAACCUGCCUGUAAGACUGGGAUAACUCCGGGAAACCGGAGCUAAUACCGGAUAGUUCCUUGAACCGCAUGGUUCAAGGAUGAAAGACGGUUUCGGCUGUCACUUACAGAUGGACCCGCGGCGCAUUAGCUAGUUGGUGGGGUAAUGGCUCACCAAGGCGACGAUGCGUAGCCGACCUGAGAGGGUGAUCGGCCACACUGGGACUGAGACACGGCCCAGACUCCUACGGGAGGCAGCAGUAGGGAAUCUUCCGCAAUGGACGAAAGUCUGACGGAGCAACGCCGCGUGAGUGAUGAAGGUUUUCGGAUCGUAAAGCUCUGUUGUUAGGGAAGAACAAGUGCGAGAGUAACUGCUCGCACCUUGACGGUACCUAACCAGAAAGCCACGGCUAACUACGUGCCAGCAGCCGCGGUAAUACGUAGGUGGCAAGCGUUGUCCGGAAUUAUUGGGCGUAAAGGGCUCGCAGGCGGUUUCUUAAGUCUGAUGUGAAAGCCCCCGGCUCAACCGGGGAGGGUCAUUGGAAACUGGGAAACUUGAGUGCAGAAGAGGAGAGUGGAAUUCCACGUGUAGCGGUGAAAUGCGUAGAGAUGUGGAGGAACACCAGUGGCGAA
This 688-nucleotide ribosomal RNA is filed under the name bacterium CaletaPS2B. RNAcentral describes it as "bacterial SSU rRNA". It matches the Rfam family "Bacterial small subunit ribosomal RNA", at positions 48 to 719 of the family's 1533-position model. The record is from RNAcentral.